RNAcentral lists this ribosomal RNA (486 nucleotides) under uncultured bacterium. RNAcentral describes it as "bacterial SSU rRNA". It matches the Rfam family "Bacterial small subunit ribosomal RNA", at positions 31 to 507 of the family's 1533-position model. The record is from RNAcentral.
GAACGCUAGCUACAGGCUUAACACAUGCAAGUCGAGGGCAGCGGGAUUGAAGCUUGCUUCAAUUGCCGGCGACCGGCGCACGGGUGAGUAACGCGUAUCCAACCUUCCGUACACUCAGGGAUAGCCUUUCGAAAGAAAGAUUAAUACCUGAUGGUAUGAUGAGAUUGCAUGAUAGCAUCAUUAAAGAUUUAUCGGUGUACGAUGGGGAUGCGUUCCAUUAGGUAGUAGGCGGGGUAACGGCCCACCUAGCCUACGAUGGAUAGGGGUUCUGAGAGGAAGGCCCCCCACAUUGGAACUGAGACACGGUCCAAACUCCCACGGGAGGCAGCAGUGAGGAAUAUUGGUCAAUGGACGAGAGUCUGAACCAGCCAAGUAGCGUGCAGGAUGACGGCCCUAUGGGUUGUAAACUGCUUUUAUAAGGGAAUAAAGUGAGUCUCGUGAGACUUUUUGCAUGUACCUUAUGAAUAAGGACCGGCUAAUUCCGUG